RNAcentral lists this ribosomal RNA (492 nucleotides) under uncultured bacterium. RNAcentral's name for it is "partial 16S ribosomal RNA". It matches the Rfam family "Bacterial small subunit ribosomal RNA", at positions 30 to 507 of the family's 1533-position model. The record is from RNAcentral.
AGUGAACGCUGGCGGUAGGCCUAACACAUGCAAGUCGAACGGCAGCACAGUAAGGGCUUGCUCUUACGGGUGGCGAGUGGCGGACGGGUGAGGAAUACAUCGGAAUCUACUUUUUCGUGGGGGAUAACGUAGGGAAACUUACGCUAAUACCGCAUACGACCUACGGGUGAAAGCAGGGGAUCUUCGGACCUUGCGCGAUUGAAUGAGCCGAUGUCGGAUUAGCUAGUUGGCGGGGUAAGGGCCCACCAAGGCGACGAUCCGUAGCUGGUCUGAGAGGAUGAGAGCCCACAUGGGAAGUGAGCCGGGUCCAAGGGUACUAGGGGAGGGCGCAGAGGGGAAUGGGGGGCAGGGGGGGGGAGCUUGCCCCAGCAAUAGGGGGUGGGAGAAAGCGGCCUGGGGUUGGUAAAGCCUUUUUGUGGGGAAAAAAAAGCAGCCGUUUAAUACCCCGUUUUUCUGAGGGUACCAAAUAAAUAAGCACCGGCUAACUACGUG